Molecule: RNA transcript, 3467 nt
Organism: Hyaena hyaena (striped hyena)
Lineage: Eukaryota; Metazoa; Chordata; Mammalia; Carnivora; Hyaenidae
Gene: PCYT1B
Gene name: phosphate cytidylyltransferase 1, choline, beta
Exons: 9
Source: RefSeq, a predicted model, not a curated record
GGUGAAGAAGAGAAAAAUACGUGACAAAGAAAACAUUCUCUGCCUGGGAGGAGACUCACAGAGGGUGUAGAGCUGGAGAGAGCAUUCACUGGCCAUGCCAGUACUUACCACUGAUGCUGAGUCAGAAACAGGUAUCCCAAAAUCCCUUUCCAAUGAGCCUCCCUCAGAAACCAUGGAGGAAAUAGAGCACACAUGCCCACAGCCUCGACUGACCUUGACUGCACCUGCCCCAUUUGCAGAUGAAACCAGCUGCCAGUGCCAAGCACCCCAUGAAAAACUGACCAUUGCUCAGGCCCGCUUAGGAACACCAGUUGACCGGCCUGUCAGAGUUUAUGCCGAUGGAAUAUUUGACCUCUUCCACUCAGGUCAUGCAAGGGCACUUAUGCAAGCAAAAACCCUGUUUCCCAACAGCUACUUGUUGGUAGGAGUUUGCAGUGAUGACCUCACCCACAAAUUCAAAGGUUUCACUGUGAUGAACGAGGCGGAGAGAUAUGAAGCCCUCAGACACUGUCGCUAUGUGGACGAAGUCAUUAGAGAUGCUCCAUGGACCCUCACUCCAGAGUUUCUGGAAAAACACAAGAUUGACUUUGUGGCUCAUGAUGACAUUCCCUACUCUUCUGCUGGCUCUGAUGAUGUGUACAAGCAUAUCAAAGAAGCUGGAAUGUUUGUUCCAACGCAGAGAACGGAAGGCAUCUCAACAUCAGACAUCAUCACCAGAAUCGUCCGUGACUAUGAUGUUUAUGCCCGACGCAACCUCCAGAGAGGGUACACAGCCAAGGAACUAAAUGUCAGCUUUAUAAAUGAGAAGAAGUACCGCUUCCAAAACCAGGUAGACAAGAUGAAGGAAAAGGUCAAGAACGUGGAGGAACGAUCAAAAGAAUUUGUCAACAGAGUGGAAGAAAAGAGUCAUGAUCUAAUUCAGAAGUGGGAAGAGAAGUCGAGAGAAUUCAUCGGCAACUUCCUAGAGCUGUUCGGGCCUGACGGUGCAUGGAAGCAGAUGUUCCAGGAGAGGAGUAGCCGGAUGCUGCAGGCCUUGUCCCCGAAGCAGAGCCCAGUGAGCAGCCCUACCAGGAGCCGGUCCCCUUCCCGCUCCCCGUCGCCCACCUUCUCAUGGCUCCCGAACAAAGCCUCGCCCCCCUCCUCACCCAAAGCGGCCUCAGCCUCCAUCAGCAGCAUGAGUGAGGGGGAUGAGGAUGAGAAGUAAAGGCUGCUGGCAGGCAAUGAGAGCCACUCCACACAGGCUGGGGCCAGGGUGGGGUCCCCGGGCGCACCUGGGUGGGGUUGGAAGGGUCAUGGUCGUGGAGGGGGGGUGCUGCGGCCCAGCUAAGGGAAGGCCUGGGGACCAGCUCUCCCCCAGUCUCCACUCGACCUAAAUCGUGGGCUCUGCAUGGAGGUUUCCAGCCGGACAACCUUGACAAACCUUCUUAGCAGCAUCCAGAAUCACUCUACUCUAACCUUGCUAAGGAAAGAGGCAGAGCACCCCCAGGAGACUUGCACCAAGUGGGGUGUCUUCUGUCCUGGUCCUUGCACCCACCCCCACUGAGUCCAUCACCUGCGGAAGCGGUCUGCUCCUUCCAGCUCAUAAGGGCCCUGCACGUUGCCUCCUCCCAUCCAAGCUCUGCCAGAAUAAAGUGGUUUCUCGUAGAGGCGGCACAGUGCUUCUGACCCGGCCGAGUUCCAGACGGAGUCCAGCUUCCUCGGCUGAGCCACUGAGACCUGAUGUUGCAACACACCGAUCCUUGCUAGGUCCAGGAACGUGGUGCACAGACCAAGACACGCUUUAGGCCAGAUACCUAAAAGGUCAUCUAGCAUGAAUCUUAACUUCUUAUCCGAAAGACAGUUUUGUCGAGGAGAACGCCACAGAAGGCCUAAUAUGUUCCUCGUUGUACUUUUUCAUCUUUGGUUUGGCCUCACGGCUUUCCAGAAAUUACCUUAAUCUGUGGGAAAUGCAACAAACAACAUUUUGCGUGCGUGUCACACACACACCUAUGUAGGGAGAAGCUGCUCUGCUUUGGCUCUGGGUUUGGCAGAUGGUCAAGGUCUCCUGGAGCUUCUCCUUAAAGGAUGCUAACUGUGGAAUGGCUUUUCCCAGGUCCAACCACUUAAUAAUUUCGUGGACCUCAAGGAACCGUUUGAUGUACCAAACCACAUAGUAUGCCAGUAGGGGGUGCUACCUGCACGUCUCUGUCCUACGUAUGCUCCACAUGUGCUCUCCGGGGUGUAGACCAUAUGCAAUACGAAUAUAUGGUGGUAGAAUUGUACAGCACACUCUCCUGCUCUCACCCUAAUACCCUGCUGAAGUCCUUGGUCUAAUGAACUACCCAGGUCCCUCGUGACUUGGGCGCUUUGUCAAAAACUCAUCCUGGAUUCCUGUAGCAAGGUCUUGACCCAACCAGGAAGUGAGCGUGCUGUUCUCACAGCCUCCUGUCAUAGUUUUGGGUGGAGGGAGGCUCUGGAGGGUUUCCCGGAGCAGUGUCGGAAUCUGUUUGAUCUCAGCAUAGACACGGUCCAGGCGGUUAGACCGCUGAGCCCACCCCUAGGUGUGCCAGAUGCAGUUGCGUGCAGUUCCUGGCCACGAACGACAGGGCGGGAAGGAGCAGGCGGAGUCAGGGGGUAGAACCACACUCUCAGGUAGAGGAGGCGUGGCCGGUCUGUCCCAGUACAGCCAGACACAGCUGGGGCCCGAGCAGAGGCCCAAACCAGCAACUUGGGACAAAAGCUCAGCACCUCUAGUGACAGAAACACCCCUCUUCUGAGGCCUCGGGAACCAGCCUUCUGGGUGACAAGUGUGGCAACCAAUGAAGGAAGGUGGCACGUCUUUCCCCCUGGUGCCGGGGCUGAACCGCCUCCCCGCCCACCUGGAGAGAAGUGGUGUUUACUGGGAAGCAAGACGGUGAGGCUGAGCCAGCUUGGAGCCCCGUCAGCCCCGGCCCCCUCUCCAGAGGGAUGAUGAGCACUCGUGUGGGACAAAGAGCUGGCCGGGCCGCGGCCCGCGAGAAGGAGCCUGUUUGCGGUCAAGGCCUGGAGCGCUGCCCUGCCUCGGGGCGGAGGGAGGCUGAGGAGAGCCAGGCAGGGCCAGGUGGGGGAGAACAAGGGAAGGCAAAGGGAGAGAAGAGGGGCCUCGGGAGCGGAAAGGACACUAGAGAAGAUCUAUGCUCUCAAACCAUCUCAGGAACUAGGCGCGCAGGGGAAACUGCCUUGGGAAGGCCUCCGAGGGCCUGCUCCCUCGCCCAGCGCAGGCCGCCCUUAGCGGAAGUGUGCUCCGAAGCCGCUCAUGUGGGGCUGAUCUAGCAGGCCUCCCACAAUGUGCCGACAGGUGCCACUUGUGUGACCCAGAUUCAGCGCCAGGUACGGGAAAUGACCGAUGUGUGGGAUGUUUCAGGGAUGGGCCGCAGCCGUUCCAAAUCGCACCCUAUGUGGCCCUGCAGACCUCCACCAGUACCUCCCCCCCCCCCCCCCGUUUUAAG